UAAAAGUUUUAUUUUAACUUGGAAAUUAAAUUUAAUUUUUAUUUAUAUACAAAUUUUAGUAUGAAAGAUUUAAAAUUUUAAAUAGGUUUUAAUUAUUUUAUUAAAUGUAAUAAUUAAUAUUAUUUAUUAAGGAAACUUAGAAAUAGAAAUAAUUAAAUAAUAUUAACUAAAUUUGUGCCAGCAGUUGCGGUUAUACAAAUAAUAUAAUUUAAUUUUAUUAGUUUUAAUAAUUAUUAUAAAUAUAUUAAUUUUAAAUUAAAAUUUAUUAAGUGAAAUUUUAAAUUUUAUAAUAAAUUAAUAAUUAAUUUAUGAAUUUAGGAAAUUUUAUUUUUAAACUAGGAUUAGAUACCCUAUUAUUUUUAAUGUAAAAAAAAUUUAAACUAGAUUAGUAUUAGUUAUGUUCUUGAAAAUUAAAAGAUUUGGCGGUAUUUUAGUCUAUUCAGAGGAAUCUGUCCUAUAAUUGAUGAUCCACGAUUAAAUUUACUUAUUUUUUUAAUUUGUAUAUCGUCGUAGGUUGAAUAUUUUUUAAGGAUUUAAAUGUUCAAGAUUUUUAAUUAGAAAAAAUAUCAGAUCAAGGUGCAGUUUAUAAAUAAGGAGAGAUGGAUUACAAUAAAUUUAUUUAGAUGGAUAAAAGUUUUUAAAAUUUUUAGAAAGUGGAUUUGAGAGUAAUUUUUUUAUAUUGAAAAAAUGAUUUAAGCUCUAAAAUAUGUACAUAUCGCCCGUCGCUUUCAUUAUAAAGUGAAAUAAGUCGUAACAAAGUAGGCCUACUGGAAUGUGGGCCUAGAAAGG
This 789-nucleotide non-coding RNA is filed under the name Platisus bicolor. Lineage: Eukaryota; Metazoa; Arthropoda; Insecta; Coleoptera; Cucujidae. The record is from RNAcentral.